RNAcentral lists this long non-coding RNA (1098 nucleotides) under Trifolium pratense (red clover). Its description in RNAcentral is "long non-coding RNA (TPRA_LNC007336)". The record is from RNAcentral. Lineage: Eukaryota; Viridiplantae; Streptophyta; Magnoliopsida; Fabales; Fabaceae.
AAAGGUAUUAUUCAAUAUGGAACCCAUGGUUUGGAAGUUUUGACAGGUUCAAAUGGUGGAAAUGUAGAAUCUACGGAUGUACUGCAGUCAAAAUUUCCACGCAUUCAUGCAAUUAGCGUGUCAGUGACAUUUGAGUUGAGAUCGGACGAUCUAGAUUUCAAUACAGAUUUUGAUUUUUCUUUCCUGAAAUAAUCAUAAUGAGCUUAAAAUCUGAACCAUCUGAUGCUCCGACUACGUGAAUGCGCGGAAAUCGUGGCAGCAGCGAAUCUGGAUUUGGAAAUGUCUACUUGACGGGUUUAUUUUUUUCCCAGAAAGGGACAAAGGGGUUAGAUGGACAUGGACUUGAUUAUAUUAGUUAAAUUUAACAUAUAUAUGCAGUGACAUCAAUUGAUAGGAAAUAGCAGAAUAUGUUUUAUGACAGUGACAAGUGGGUUUAGGUUUUUUAGAGAUUGAAUAUGUGGAGAUUUUAAUAUGUAUGUCAUCAAUUGUAAAUUUUCAUUUUCAGAAAAAUAAAGUGUAGUAGAGGAAAUUGAAUUAACUGAAAUCAUUAUGGUCCUAAAAACUUACUAAACUGUCCUGGCUCAGUUUAUGUAAGAAUUGUGAUAUUUUGACACCACCCUUUCAUUGCAAGGGGAUUUUAAUGAGAGUUUCAGAUAUGAUAAGAAAUAACUUAAACAUGAAGAAUGGCAAUCAUCCGGCUCUCACAUUUUGAGCUGAUUUUGUAGGGUAGAGUUAGACCUAAUCCAAAUUUUAAGAUGGUAUUGGAGUCUAUCAAAAAUCUAUUGGGUCAUCCAUUAUAGAGUCACUUGAGUCACGCUCUAGAUGUUCGUUUUUAGUUGUGAGGGGUGUGUUAAGAGUCUCGUAUUAUGAGAUUUGACCUAAAAAUCUGUUUAUGAAUGGAAGACAUUUCUCACCUUUUAAACUAAUUUUGUAAAGUUGAGUUAGGCCAACCCAAAUUCUAAGAAUUUUGAUUAUCAAAUUUCUUUACCGUCCUAAUUUGUGUAGGUGAAAUUAUAAAAUAAAAAACUAUAUAGUAAAUUAAGCCACCUUUGCUAAAUUAGUUUCAAGAUUAAUAAAUCAAUAUAGCUUGUGUUAAAA